RNAcentral lists this ribosomal RNA (577 nucleotides) under Notriolus sp. 2 MF-2023a. Its description in RNAcentral is "partial large subunit ribosomal RNA". It matches the Rfam family "Bacterial large subunit ribosomal RNA", at positions 1842 to 2695 of the family's 2925-position model. The record is from RNAcentral. Lineage: Eukaryota; Metazoa; Arthropoda; Insecta; Coleoptera; Elmidae.
AUAAUAUAAGAUUUAGCCUGCCCACUGAGUAUUUAAAGGGCCGCGGUAUUUUGACCGUGCAAAGGUAGCAUAAUAAUUAGUUUUUUAAUUGAAAGCUGGAAUGAAUGGUUGGACGAGGAAAUUACUGUCUCUUAUUAAUUUAUAUAAAAUUUUAUUUUUAAGUUAAAAAGCUUAAAUUUUUCUAAAAGACGAGAAGACCCUAUAGAGUUUUAUAAAUCUAUUUGAUUAUAAUUUUAAGAAUUAAAUUUUUUAUUUUUUAGGUUUAUUUCAUUGGGGCGAUGAAAAGAUUAAUUUAACUCUUUUUUUGUUUAAACAUUUAUUUAUGAUUAUUUGAUCCAUUUUUUAUGAUUAUAAGAAUAAAUUACCUUAGGGAUAACAGCGUAAUCUUUUUUGAGAGUUCUUAUCGAAACAAGGGAUUGCGACCUCGAUGUUGGAUUAAAGUUAAUUUUUGGUGUAGAAGCUAGAAAAUUGAGUCUGUUCGACUUUUAAAACUUUACAUGAUCUGAGUUUAAACCGGUGUGAGCCAGGUUGGUUUCUAUCUUUAUUUAAAUAAAAUAUUUUAGUACGAAAGGACCAA